GACGAACGCUGGCGGCGUGCUUAACACAUGCAAGUCGAACGGAAAGGCCCUGCUUUUGUGGGUUGCUCGAGUGGCGAACGGGUGAGUAACACGUGAGUAACCUGCCCUUGACUUUGGGAUAACUUCAGGAAACUGGGGCUAAUACCGGAUAGGAGCUCCUGCUGCAUGGUGGGGGUUGGAAAGUUUCGGCGGUUUGGGAUGGACUCGCGGCUUAUCAGCUUGUUGGUGAGGUAGUGGCUUACCAAGGGUUUGACGGAUAGCCGGCCUGGGAGGGUGACCGGCCACAAUGGGACUGAGAUACGGAGCAGACGCCUACGGGAGGCAGCAGGGGGGAAUAUGGCACAAUGGGCGGGAGCCUGAGGCAGCAACGUCGGGAGCGUGAUGACGUGCUUCGGGUGGUAAACCGAUUUCGCCUUAGACAAAGCGGGAGUGACGGUAAUGGGUAAAGAAGCACCGGCUAACUACGUG
Molecule: ribosomal RNA, 468 nt
Filed under: uncultured bacterium
Lineage: Bacteria
Description: partial 16S ribosomal RNA
Rfam family: Bacterial small subunit ribosomal RNA
Source: RNAcentral